Molecule: transfer RNA, 74 nt
Filed under: Choloepus hoffmanni (Hoffmann's two-fingered sloth)
Lineage: Eukaryota; Metazoa; Chordata; Mammalia; Pilosa; Megalonychidae
Description: tRNA-Thr (AGT) (tRNA-Thr-AGT-9-1)
Rfam family: tRNA
About the family: Transfer RNA (tRNA) molecules are approximately 80 nucleotides in length. Their secondary structure includes four short double-helical elements and three loops (D, anti-codon, and T loops).
Source: RNAcentral
GGCUCCGUGGCUUAGCCGGUUGAAGCGCCUGUGUAGUAAACAGGAGAGCUUGGGUUCGACUCCCAGCGGGGCCU